CGGACGGGUGAGUAACGCGUGAGUAACCUGCCUUAGAGAAGGGAUAGCCUUUGGAAACGAAGAAUAAUACCCUAUAACACCAACACCUCGCAUGAAGAGUUGGUCAAAGAUUUAUCGCUCUAAGAUGGACUUGCGUCUGAUUAGUUAGUUGGUGAGGUAACGGCCCACCAAGACAGCGAUCAGUAGCCGGCUUGAGAGAGUGUACGGCCACAUUGGGACUGAGACACGGCCCAGACUCCUACGGGAGGCAGCAGCA
Molecule: ribosomal RNA, 256 nt
Filed under: uncultured Anaerococcus sp.
Lineage: Bacteria; Bacillati; Bacillota; Tissierellia; Tissierellales; Peptoniphilaceae
Description: partial 16S ribosomal RNA
Rfam family: Bacterial small subunit ribosomal RNA
Source: RNAcentral